GCGACAGUGGUGGAACGGUAGACACGCUAUCUUGAGGGGGUAGUGCCAAUAGGUGUGAGGGUUCAAAUCCCUCCUGUCGCACCA
This 84-nucleotide transfer RNA is filed under the name Campylobacterota bacterium. Its description in RNAcentral is "Epsilonproteobacteria bacterium (hydrothermal vent metagenome) tRNA-Leu". It matches the Rfam family "tRNA". From Rfam's summary of the family: Transfer RNA (tRNA) molecules are approximately 80 nucleotides in length. Their secondary structure includes four short double-helical elements and three loops (D, anti-codon, and T loops). Lineage: Bacteria; Pseudomonadati; Campylobacterota. The record is from RNAcentral.